AUUGAACGCUGGCGGCAGGCCUAACACAUGCAAGUCGAACGGUAACAGGAAGCAGCUUGCUGCUUUGCUGACGAGUGGCGGACGGGUGAGUAAUGUCUGGGAAACUGCCCGAUGGAGGGGGAUAACUACUGGAAACGGUAGCUAAUACCGCAUAACGUCGCAAGACCAAAGAGGGGGACCUUAGGGCCUCUUGCCAUCGGGUGUGCCCAGAUGGGAUUAGCUAGUAGGUGGGGUAACGGCUCACCUAGGCGACGAGCCCUAGCUGGUCUGAGAGGAUGACCAGCCACACUGGAACUGAGACACGGUCCAGACUCCUACGGGAGGCAGCAGUGGGGAAUAUUGCACAAUGGGCGCAAGCCUGAUGCAGCCAUGCCGCGUGUAUGAAGAAGGCCUUCGGGUUGUAAAGUACUUUCAGCGGGGAGGAAGGGAGUAAAGUUAAUACCUUUGCUCAUUGACGUUACCCGCAGAAGAAGCACCGGCUAACUCCGUG
This 490-nucleotide ribosomal RNA is filed under the name uncultured bacterium. RNAcentral describes it as "partial 16S ribosomal RNA". It matches the Rfam family "Bacterial small subunit ribosomal RNA", at positions 30 to 507 of the family's 1533-position model. The record is from RNAcentral.